This 465-nucleotide ribosomal RNA is filed under the name uncultured bacterium. Its description in RNAcentral is "partial 16S ribosomal RNA". It matches the Rfam family "Bacterial small subunit ribosomal RNA", at positions 338 to 795 of the family's 1533-position model. The record is from RNAcentral.
CCUACGGGAGGCAGCAGUAGGGAAUCUUCCACAAUGGGCGAAAGCCUGAUGGAGCAACGCCGCGUGGGUGAAGAAGGUCUUCGGAUCGUAAAACCCUGUUUGUAGAGAAGAAAGUGCGUGAGAGUAACUGUUCACGUUUCGACGGUAUCUAACCAGAAAGCCACGGCUACCUACGUGCCAGGAGCCGCUGUAAUACGUGGGUGGCAAUCGUUAUCCGGAUUUGUUGGGCGUAAAGGGUACGCAGGCGGUCAUUUAAAUUUAGUGUGAAAGCCUUCGGGUUAAACGGAGUAGUGCAUUGGAAACUGGGGUAUUUGAGUGCAGAAGAGGAGAGUGGAACUCGAGGUGUAGCGGUGAAAUGCGUAGAUAUAUGGAAGAACACCAGUGGCGAAAGCGGCUCUCUGGUCUGUAACUGACGCUGAGGUUCGAAAGCGUGGGUAGCAAACAGGAUUAGAUACCCUUGUAGUC